GUCCCUUUUAUAGAAUAAGGGCUCGCUCCUCAAUACAUGAAUGAUAAGCUAGAUUUGAUGCUCUCUAAUGAUAGUGAGGGAGUCCCUUUUAUAGAAUAAAGGUUCGCUCCUUAAUACAUAAGUGAUGGGCUAGAGUUGAGGCUCGCGGUGAGACGGUUGCUCAGCAGGCGGCGAUGCGCUCUAAUGAUGGUGAGGGAGUCCCUUUUAUAGAAUAAGGGCUUGCUCUACAAUACAUAAGUGAUGGGUUAGGAGUGAUGCUCGCGGCGAGACGGUUGCUCAGCAGGCAGCGAUGCUCUCUAAUGAUGGUGAGGGAGUCCCUUUUAUAGAAUAAGGGCUCGGACCUUAAUACAUGAAUAAUGGGUUAAGUCCCCUGAGUAUUUUUCACGAGGCUCAGUUGCGGAAGCGAGACUCAAAUGUAAUUAUGUAAUAAAUGAAGGGGCAAAUAUGUAAUAAGUGAGGAGCCCUUAGUCUAUAAAAGGGACUCCUCACCCUCACAAUCCUCAAGCCUCAUAUCCCUAAACAGAGGCUCUCAUAUUCAGAGCUUUCAUCCUUACAGAAAAGCUCUCUCGAACCCUCUUUUUCUCUGGGGGACUCCCUCUCACGCUUGUAAUCUAUACAUUCAUACAGAGAAAUACAAUCAACAUCAGUGUGGACGUAGCCCAAACAUUGGGGUGAACCACGAUACAUCUUGUGUCCUUUACUUUCUUGCAGAUUCACAGUCGGAUUUACGUUGUUCCAAGACCUCCGGUUUUGUGCUUCAACAUAAAGAAAUACGAAUAAAUAAGGACCAAGUUACCAGCAAUACUAGCUAGGAGAAAGUGCUAAUGCGAGAUUAAGUGUGAAAUACACAACCAGAGCAUAAAUAGCCUAAAUGCAGUCAAGCAGGACAAGUACUAAUUAUACAACACCUAAGGGUUAUCCUACAUUUAUGAUGUUUUGUUAGAACCACCGUUGAAAUCCUAGUGAGCCACCAAAGCACUUCUACCUAAAACCUGGAGGGGCGCAAAACAUAAAGUGUGAGUGGGCAAAAAUAAAGCUUUUCAAAAUCAUUUCAUUUCUUAAAAAUUCUAAUACCUCGCCGUAAAACCUGUAUAAUUUCCUAGAAAAUAUAAUAUAUGCUAUAUCAGAAAUCAUGCUUAGGAUGAAAAUUCAUAGAAAUAUACCAUGCCAAAGUAUCUCAAUGAAAUGCUAUAAGUAAUCCAAUUAAAAUGUAUCAAUGCCAGACAUCAUAUCAGCCAUAUCCACCUAACGUGACUUGCAUGGCUGAAUCUAUAGCUCAUAACCAAUCCCAAUCGUAUCAAAUCUUGCACACGAGUCGGAACCAUUUAAAGUGGUCUAUACGACAAGACUAGGUGUAAAAUGAAUAUGUUCUAGUGCUACGAUCACGUGAAGGCUAUGCGAAUGAUCGGCGGCCAUUUACUAGUUGGAACCACCUAAAAUGGUUUGUACGACAAGCCUGUGCACCUAACUUGGAUCCAAGGUGAGCAUAUGGUGUGGGAGGUGAACAUCAAGUGAAGGAUUGUACCCUAACUCUGGCGGGAGCACUAACAUUGGGGUGCAGGUUUAUGAGCUCUCAAUACAUCACAUCAUAUCUCGCAUAACUGAAGUAAUCUCAUAUCUUUAAUUUAUGAACUUACCUGGUACUUACCUGUGCGUCCGCAGCACCAAUCAUAAAUAUAUGCAACUACUAAUGCAUAAAUAAAAUAGGCAGAUACUUUGCAUGGCAUUUCAAAACGUAUAAUUAUUCAAAUUCGUUUUCUGGGAAAAAUCUCAAGUAUAUAGGUAUAUACGGAAAACCAAAAGCCCACUUAUUGGUAUGUCGAAGGGUCGUAACCCCCGAGCCUCGAUUGAUGGCGCUCGUCCUCAGGAUAGGUUUCACCUAUAUGCGAAAUAACUAAAUAAACAUUAUUUAGAGCACAUAUACAAAACUAGGAAAUAACUUCUCAUACAUUGCUUAAAUGGGGUAUUUGAAUAAACCACAAUGACCUACUCAACCUCAGAAACAUCCACAUAUUUUUAGAAAAAAUUUCCGACCACCCACGCGCUCUCACACGCUGGCCAAGGCACGGCCAGACACGCGGCUCACGCGCAGGCACGUGCUUGGCACACCAAAUGGAUUCCCUAACGGCGUUAGAGAAUAUUCCGUUAAAUAUAAGCAUAUACCGUUAGAAUUACCUGACGGCGUUAGAAUAUUCCGUCAACUUUGAUGGAAUAUUCUCCUUAUUCUUCCUUAGUUCGUUGGAGUCCAGCGCUGGUGCCGCUGCGAUCGCCGGAAACUGGAAAAUCUUAAAACUCAAUAUCUUUUUCAUUUCUCAACCAAAAUUCAUGAAACUUAAACCAAAAUGAAGCUUACAACGAGUAGAACAAAACCUUACCAAUUUUAAGCCUUAAAAUCCAUGGAAUCUCGCCGGAGAAACCUCGAUAAUCUGGCCAAAUUUGAAACUCGUUGAACUAAGCUUCUCGACGUCUAAAACACUCCAACUUUAUUCCCCA
Molecule: long non-coding RNA, 2493 nt
Filed under: Malus domestica (apple)
Lineage: Eukaryota; Viridiplantae; Streptophyta; Magnoliopsida; Rosales; Rosaceae
Description: long non-coding RNA (MDOM_LNC017255)
Source: RNAcentral